GGGGGUGUAUUGGUUUUGACAGCAUAGAUCUUUGAAGGUGCAAGCAUGUCGUGCGUUGGGUAAUUAGCACGUAAAUCUGAAUACUCAAACAUCAAAUGGCAAUACUCAGUAUGCCAUGGCUGCCUAAUUAUUAAUUAGACCGUCAUUAGGGCCGCCCGAGCAGGUUGAUCUGUUACCACGCUCCGCCGCCGACUUAAAAAAACAAAACAGGUUGCUGCUACUGAAGGCUGUGACGGUAGCUUAAGACUAUCCAGCUAAGCGUUAUAUUGGUUCGCCCGUCUCCUGUAUAACGCCGACAAUUAAUGCCGGGAUAAACAUGUAGAAAGCUUUUGGAGAAUGUGUUUGGACACCGGUUCGAGUCCGGUCACCUCCACCA
This 376-nucleotide transfer-messenger RNA is filed under the name Chitinophagaceae. RNAcentral's name for it is "UBA3961 sp016721085 Standard tmRNA". It matches the Rfam family "transfer-messenger RNA". From Rfam's summary of the family: Bacterial tmRNA, also known as 10Sa RNA or SsrA, is named for its dual tRNA and mRNA-like properties. Its role is to liberate the mRNA from a stalled ribosome. To accomplish this part of the tmRNA is used as a reading frame that ends in a translation stop signal. Lineage: Bacteria; Pseudomonadati; Bacteroidota; Chitinophagia; Chitinophagales. The record is from RNAcentral. RNAcentral also lists the same sequence under 1 other name.